Molecule: ribosomal RNA, 254 nt
Filed under: uncultured prokaryote
Description: partial 16S ribosomal RNA
Rfam family: Bacterial small subunit ribosomal RNA
Source: RNAcentral
UACGUAGGGGGCGAGCGUUGUCCGAAGUUACUGGGCGUAAAGCGCGCGUAGGCGGUUUCUUAAGUUUGGGGUGAAAGGUUCAGCGCUCAACGUGAACAGUGCCUUGGAGACUGGGAGACUUGAGUGUGGCAGAGGAGCAUGGAAUUCCUGGUGUAGCGGUGAAAUGCGUAGAGAUCAGGAGGAAUACCGAUGGCGAAGGCAGUGCUCUGGGCUAACACUGACGCUGAGGUGCGAAAGCGUGGGGAGCGAACGGG